This is a long non-coding RNA of Hypanus sabinus (Atlantic stingray), 1018 nucleotides long. RefSeq lists it as uncharacterized. The record is from RefSeq and is a predicted model, not a curated record. NCBI's taxonomy places the organism in Eukaryota, Metazoa, Chordata, Chondrichthyes, Myliobatiformes, Dasyatidae. The transcript has 5 exons.
CUUAGUUCCACCAUCAGUUGGAUACGGAAUAAGGCAGACGAUCUUGUCGCACCGUUGGAAAGGAUGCAGGGAAGGCAAUGGAACCAGACAGCAUCUCAGGGAGUGUUGUGAAGUUCUGCAUGCUGGAGGGACACUUUCACACAAGCACCUACUGGAAAUAGAGGCUGCCUGGGAUCCAGCGAGGUUUUAUUUCAACACGUGCGGCGUUUCGACAGGGUUGUUGGGGCAGCACCAUCAGCACGGCAGUUGCUUCAGUGAAAUCAGACCACCGGAGCUCCGGUGGAAUUUGCGCAUUCUCGCGGCUUCCCAGUUCUUCGCACAGCCCACAAACUUGCAGGUUGGUUCAGUGCUGUACAUCUUAGGAUCAGUAAGAUGUGGGCAUGUUACAAUGGUGCUGAGAGCACGGCCACACUUGCAAGCUGCCUCGGUCUGUGCUGGUGUAUGCGGUAAAGGGCGCAUUUCACUGCAUGCUUCGCGGUACCUGUGAAACCAAUCUCUCAGCUGAAGGUCUACUAAUUGAUGAUCCAGAAACAAAUUCACAAUUAGUCACCAGGCGAGAUUUGGAGGAAAACAGAUGUCCCAUGCACUUUUCUGAGAUUAAGACAUCAAGGCGAUUGCGGAAGGCGAGCAAGAGUUCAUUGCUGAGCGCCUGCCUUUUGCCAGAGAAGGAGCCUGUGAGCAGCCUAUCACCGUGUAGGCAGGAGUGCCCCCUGCUUCCUGUGUUGUCCCUCUCUUUUGAUGAAUGUUAAUAAUAUUGUAGCAUAACAUCGUGGUUCUGCAUUUAUGGAUUCGACUAUUGUGUUUGUGGAUAUGGACUUAUUCAGAAUUAUGGUUUUUACAUUCUGUGUUUGUUAAUCAUCUGCUCCUUUUCUGUUUUGUUGUACGAGGGGGGCUGAUGAUCUGUUAGUGUUCUGUAUUUUUUGUGCGGGGGAGGAGGGUUUCUUUCCUGGGGUCGAUGAUCCUGUUCCAUUUAGUGCGGGGAAAGGGGGUUUGAUGAAUCAGGAUGCCAUUUUUUUUU